Molecule: long non-coding RNA, 943 nt
Organism: Armigeres subalbatus
Lineage: Eukaryota; Metazoa; Arthropoda; Insecta; Diptera; Culicidae
Exons: 3
Source: RefSeq, a predicted model, not a curated record
UAAGCGUGUAAUGUUUUGUUUGCGGCUAGGGAAAAAUAAAAAAAUCGAACAGUCAAAGUGCAGGACUCUUCGUUGCUUCCUGCUCUUUUAAAUUCUGCUAGUGGUUGACUAAUGGAUCAUUGGCUGCUGUGCCUUGUAAUGGUGAACUAUUUAUGAAGCUCACUCAGCCGUCAUACCCACCGCUGAUAAAGGCGCAUCUCCACGGAAGUUCUAAAGCAUGGUUAAUUGGAAAGGAUGCCGAAAGACAGCGGCCACAAUCAGCGCCGCCAUAUACGAACAUCAACACUCUUCACCAGCAGCAACACUUAUGCCAGAAACUAAUAACCAGGUUAUUGGUUCCUGCUUAUGCUACGUUUAGACAAGGCAAGUGAAUUGAGCAAGUCGCUUGAAUCAAACGCGAAUUGAACGUGUAAACACCUUAAUUCACAUCACUUGAACGAAAAGAAAGUUGAACAUGUUCAACUUUUGGCAAGUCAAUUGAAUUCAACUGAGUUGUUGCGUUAUGCUACGUUUUGACACGGCAAGUGAAUUGAACAACUCAGUUGAAUUCAAUUGACUUGCCAAAAGAACAUGUUCAACUUUUUUUUUCCGUUCAAGUGAAUUGAAUUAGGUGCCUGCCAGAGUAGACGCGUCUACGCGACGCGGCGCGAAAAUUACACACAAAGGAAUAACAAUCAAUAAUAAGGAGCUGUCAAAUCGUAUGGACGCUUCGCUUCGCUUCGCACUUCGCGUCUACUCUGGCCGCACCCUUAGGGUGUUUACACGUUCAGUUCGCGUUCGAUUCAAGCGACUUGCUCAAUUUAAUUGCCUUGUCUAAACGUAGCAUUACGGCAUGGCCAAUGAGAAGCUAUGAAGAGCGCUCAACAAUAGAAUAAAAUAUAUAAAUCUAAAAUUCAAAUUAAAUUUCAAAUCAAAGUAAUAAAAUAAACCGUAAAGCAAUUAA